RNAcentral lists this ribosomal RNA (377 nucleotides) under uncultured eukaryote. RNAcentral's name for it is "partial 18S ribosomal RNA". It matches the Rfam family "Eukaryotic small subunit ribosomal RNA", at positions 592 to 976 of the family's 1831-position model. The record is from RNAcentral.
CAAUAGCGUAUAUUUAAGUUGCUGCAGUUAAAAAGCUCGUAGUUGGAUUUCGGGUGGGAAUGGCCGGUCCGCCGUUUCGGUGUGCACUUGCUACGCCCACCUUGCUGCCGGGGACGUGCUCUUGAGUUCACGCUCGGGACACGGAGUCGGCGAGGUUACUUUGAGUAAAUUAGAGUGUUCAAAGCAGGCCCACGCUCUGAAUACAUUAGCAUGGAAUAACACGAUAGGACUCUGGCCUAUCUUGUUGGUCUGUAGGACCGGAGUAAUGAUUAAGAGGGACAGUCGGGGGCACUCGUAUUUCAUUGUCAGAGGUGAAAUUCUUGGAUUUAUGAAAGACGAACUACUGCGAAAGCAUUUGCCAAGGAUGUUUUCAUUAA